GCCCUAGUAACGGCGAGUGAAGCGGCAACAGCUCAAAUUUGAAAUCUGGCGCAAGCCCGAGUUGUAAUUUGUAGAGGAUGCUUCUAGGUAGCGACCGGUCUAAGUUCCUUGGAACAGGACGUCAUAGAGGGUGAGAAUCCCGUAUGUGACUGGCCCGCACCUUCUACGUAGCUCCUUCGACGAGUCGAGUUGUUUGGGAAUGCAGCUCUAAAUGGGAGGUAAAUUUCUUCUAAAGCUAAAUACCGGCCAGAGACCGAUAGCGCACAAGUAGAGUGAUCGAAAGAUGAAAAGCACUUUGGAAAGAGAGUUAAAAAGCACGUGAAAUUGUUGAAAGGGAAGCGCUCACAACCAGACUUCUAGGCAGUGUUCCGCCGGUCUUUUGACCGGUCUACUCUCUGUCUCGAGGCCAACAUCAUCUGGGACCGCUGGAUAAGACCUUAGGAAUGUAGCUCCCCUCGGGGAGUGUUAUAGCCUCUGGUGAUGCAGCGAGUCUCGGGUGAGGUCCGCGCUUCGGCAAGGAUGUUGGCGUAAUGGUUGUCAGCGGCCCGUCUUGAAACACGGACCAAGGAGUCUAACAUCUAUGCGAGUGUUCGGGUGUCAAACCCCUACGCGUAAUGAAAGUGAACGGAGGUGGGAAGCGUAAGCUGCACCAUCGACCGAUCCUGAUGUCCUCGGAUGGAUUUGAGUAAGAGCAUAGCUGUUGGGACCCGAAAGAUGGUGAACUAUGCCUGAAUAGGGUGAAGCCAGAGGAAACUCUGGUGGAGGCUCGCAGCGGUUCUGACGUG
This 785-nucleotide ribosomal RNA is filed under the name Ramularia vizellae. RNAcentral's name for it is "eukaryotic LSU rRNA". It matches the Rfam family "Eukaryotic large subunit ribosomal RNA", at positions 77 to 893 of the family's 3401-position model. Lineage: Eukaryota; Fungi; Ascomycota; Dothideomycetes; Mycosphaerellales; Mycosphaerellaceae. The record is from RNAcentral.